GAUGAACGCUGGCGGCGUGCCUAAUACAUGCAAGUCGAGCGAACAGACGAGGAGCUUGCUCCUCUGACGUUAGCGGCGGACGGGUGAGUAACACGUGGAUAACCUACCUAUAAGACUGGGAUAACUUCGGGAAACCGGAGCUAAUACCGGAUAAUAUAUUGAACCGCAGGGUUCAAUAGUGAAAGACGGUUUUGCUGUCACUUAUAGAUGGAUCCGCGCCGCAUUAGCUAGUUGGUAAGGUAACGGCUUACCAAGGCAACGAUGCGUAGCCGACCUGAGAGGGUGAUCGGCCACACUGGAACUGAGACACGGUCCAGACUCCUACGGGAGGCAGCAGUAGGGAAUAUUCCGCAAUGGGCGAAAGCCUGACGGAGCAACGCCGCGUGAGUGAUGAAGGUCUUCGGAUCGUAAAACUCUGUUAUUAGGGAAGAACAAAUGUGUAAGUAACUAUGCACGUCUUGACGGUACCUAAUCAGAAAGCCACGGCUAACUACGUG
RNAcentral lists this ribosomal RNA (497 nucleotides) under uncultured bacterium. RNAcentral's name for it is "partial 16S ribosomal RNA". It matches the Rfam family "Bacterial small subunit ribosomal RNA", at positions 28 to 507 of the family's 1533-position model. The record is from RNAcentral.